UAAUACGUAGGUGGCAAGCGUUGUCCGGAUUUACUGGGCGUAAAGGGAGCGUAGGCGGACUUUUAAGUGAGAUGUGAAAUACCCGAGCUCAACUUGGGUGCUGCAUUUCAAACUGGAAGUCUAGAGUGCAGGAGAGGAGAGUGGAAUUCCUAGUGUAGCGGUGAAAUGCGUAGAGAUUAGGAAGAACACCAGUGGCGAAGGCGACUCUCUGGACUGUAACUGACGCUGAGGCUCGAAAGCGUGGGGAGCAAACAGG
This 256-nucleotide ribosomal RNA is filed under the name uncultured bacterium. Its description in RNAcentral is "partial 16S ribosomal RNA". It matches the Rfam family "Bacterial small subunit ribosomal RNA", at positions 521 to 776 of the family's 1533-position model. The record is from RNAcentral.